RNAcentral lists this non-coding RNA (160 nucleotides) under Lottia gigantea (owl limpet). Its description in RNAcentral is "Eukaryotic large subunit ribosomal RNA". It matches the Rfam family "Eukaryotic large subunit ribosomal RNA", at positions 2825 to 2984 of the family's 3401-position model. The record is from Rfam by way of RNAcentral. Lineage: Eukaryota; Metazoa; Mollusca; Gastropoda; Lottiidae.
GAUAACUGGCUUGUGGCAGCCAAGCGUUCUUAGCGACGUUUCUUUUUGAUUCUUCGAUCUCGGCUCUUCCUAUCAUUGCGAAGCAGAAUUCGUCAAGAGUUGGAUUGUUCACCCACCAACAGGGAACGUGAGCUGGGUUGAGACUGUUGUUGGAAAUGUA